GGGGCUGUGGUGUAGCUUGGUAUCAUUGGCCCUUGGGGUGGGUCCGACCUGAGUUCGAAUCUCAGCAGCCCCA
Molecule: transfer RNA, 73 nt
Filed under: Candidatus Woesearchaeota archaeon
Lineage: Archaea; Nanobdellati; Candidatus Woesearchaeota
Description: tRNA-Pro
Source: RNAcentral